AACGCAUCUUGCGCCUUUUGGAAUUCCGAAAGGCACACUUGUUUGAGUGUCAUAAAAAUAUCAAUUUCUUUUGUAAUAAAAUGGAGUUGGAUUAUGAGUGUUGCUGUGUUACAGCUCACUUGAAAUGUAUUAGUCCUUCAAUGCCGGAUAGACUUGGUGUAAUAAGACCAUUCAUCAAGGAUAUGCUCUUGCAGGCCGGCCAAUUAAAGGUACUGAAAAAUGCUCAUUAUAAUUUGGACAUCAAAUCAAGUGGGAUCACCCGCUGAACUUAA
Molecule: unclassified non-coding RNA, 272 nt
Filed under: uncultured fungus
Lineage: Eukaryota; Fungi
Description: sequence contains ITS2
Source: RNAcentral